Molecule: small RNA, 82 nt
Filed under: Marmota monax (woodchuck)
Lineage: Eukaryota; Metazoa; Chordata; Mammalia; Rodentia; Sciuridae
Source: RNAcentral
GCCGGGUAAAGUGGCGUGUGCCAGUAAUCCCAGCAGCUUGGAGGCUGAGGCAGGAGGAUCCUGGGUUCAAAGCCAGCCUCAG